CACCUAGCGGCCCCAGGCGAGGGUGGACCGGGCUCCCUUGCUCAGGUGCCCGGGGAGGACCCCGCGGCCGCUCUCUCCCCACGCUGCGGGCGGGGAAGCAGCAAGCGCGGCAGGUGCAGGGCGGAGCUGCCGCCGCCCCCGCGCCGGGCGGAGGUGGGGAGCGCGGCGAGCGGCGGCGAGUCCCGAGCGCGCAGAGAAAGCCAUUUCAGUGAGUUUGUGGCUACUUGAUAUCAUUAACUGCCGUAGGAUGUUGAAAGUCUACACAUUUCUCUGUGAUGAACUUGAAGAAAACUAUGGUGAAAUAGAGUGCGGAGCCAGCAGCAGCCAGGGCUGGGUUCAGUAUGAGGGAGUUCCUCUCCAUUCACCCAACACAGAACUGGCUUGAGUCUCCCUACUCAGUAACCCAGGAAAUUCACACACCAGCCGUGGACACCUCUGAGAGGCAAUGCUUCCCCACUUGCAAGCACAGAGCCUGAGUAGAAAAGGAACUUUUAAUAAAAGGGAAGGAAGUAACUUGGCAUUAAUUUGGAAAAAUACCACAAACAAGAUUCAUAAACAAGCACUAUGAGUAAAAGUCCCUGUUCAAGUAGUUUGGGCAGUGUUCUUUUCCUCUCACAUUGCUUGUCUUCAGAACCUAAUAACCCCUUCACAUGCCCAAACUUUCUCUGCACCCCACUCAGAGUUGCUGCCCUGGGUCAGGACAGACUGAGAAUUCAGAAGUGCAUCUGCAGAGUUCACCUCCCAUUGGGGUUGGAGGAGGUAAAGGGGCAUCUUACUUUCCUGGUCACUCAUCAACCACCUGCUCACUGCUUUUCACCACUGCCCUGCUGGCUGCUUAUCACACUUUUCUGCCACUGCCCUGCUGGCACUUGUCAUGCUUCUCCACUUCCAUUAGGCUGGCCACUUGUCGUGCCACCACUGCCCUGCUGGUCUCUCAUUGUAUCUCUCUGCCACUGUGUUGCUGGCUGUUAGUCACCAUCCACUGCCAUCCACCUCUUGACUGUGACUUCUGCCCAUCAGUCUCAAAUGAUUUCAGCUCCCAGUGAUUUCACUCUUAGCAAGCACGAUAGGAGAAAUACAACUCCCAACACAAUUAACAUAAAAAAGAGGCUUUUAAUUAUGCCUAUUUAAGAUUUGUUUUUUGAACAGUGAAGUGGGGGGAAGGAGGGAGGAGGAGAGGCAGGUUAGAUCAGCCCAGGCAAGGGAGGGUAUGCACCUCCUGCCUCAAUUUACAGGAUGCUUACUUUCAUGUUACGAUUCAAUCCUCCUGACAGGCGUUUUCUCCGCUUCACCUUAAGUACCCAGCACUACCAAUAUACCAUCCAACCUUCUGGAUUCUCCACAGCACCAAGAGUUUUCUCCAAGAUGCUCAUGGUAGUUACUGCCCACCUGAGGAAACAAGACAUGGUGAUAUACCCUUACCCUUAUGAUUGCCUCAUCAAGGCAAAAACUGAAGUGGAUUCUCAUUGAAGCACUUACCUGGUCAUGGCAUGCUUCCACUCCCUGGGCUUGUUAAUAAACAAAACAAAAUCAUUGCUCACACCAACACAAUCCAUACAACUCAUUGGAGCACAGCUUGAUUCAACAGCCUCCAUAGCUUCCCUGCCAUGAGACAGAUUCUUAAUAAUCCGUGACUUGGAUCUCAAAUUGCAUUUAAUGCCAUGAGUCAUGGUGCAUGACUGUCUUCAGCUACUCGGCCAUAUGGUAUCAUGCAACCCAGUAGUGCCAAACACAUGUCUCUUUAUGCGAUGCCUACAAGGCUGACUCAGGACAGCCUACAUGCCAAAUUAUCACCCUCUCACCCAAAUCC
Molecule: non-coding RNA, 1810 nt
Organism: Pelodiscus sinensis (Chinese soft-shelled turtle)
Lineage: Eukaryota; Metazoa; Chordata; Testudines; Trionychidae
Source: RefSeq, a predicted model, not a curated record